GGUUAAGCGACUAAGCGUACACGGUGGAUGCCCUGGCAGUCAGAGGCGAUGAAGGACGUGCUAAUCUGCGAUAAGCGUCGGUAAGGUGAUAUGAACCGUUAUAACCGGCGAUUUCCGAAUGGGGAAACCCAGUGUGUUUCGACACACUAUCAUUAACUGAAUCCAUAGGUUAAUGAGGCGAACCGGGGGAACUGAAACAUCUAAGUACCCCGAGGAAAAGAAAUCAACCGAGAUUCCCCCAGUAGCGGCGAGCGAACGGGGAGGAGCCCAGAGCCUGAAUCAGUGUGUGUGUUAGUGGAAGCGUCUGGAAAGGCGCGCGAUACAGGGUGACAGCCCCGUACACAAAAAUGCACAUGCUGUGAGCUCGAUGAGUAGGGCGGGACACGUGGUAUCCUGUCUGAAUAUGGGGGGACCAUCCUCCAAGGCUAAAUACUCCUGACUGACCGAUAGUGAACCAGUACCGUGAGGGAAAGGCGAAAAGAACCCCGGCGAGGGGAGUGAAAAAGAACCUGAAACCGUGUACGUACAAGCAGUGGGAGCCUCUUUAUGGGGUGACUGCGUACCUUUUGUAUAAUGGGUCAGCGACUUAUAUUCUGUAGCAAGGUUAACCGAAUAGGGGAGCCGAAGGGAAACCGAGUCUUAACUGGGCGUUAAGUUGCAGGGUAUAGACCCGAAACCCGGUGAUCUAGCCAUGGGCAGGUUGAAGGUUGGGUAACACUAACUGGAGGACCGAACCGACUAAUGUUGAAAAAUUAGCGGAUGACUUGUGGCUGGGGGUGAAAGGCCAAUCAAACCGGGAGAUAGCUGGUUCUCCCCGAAAGCUAUUUAGGUAGCGCCUCGUGAAUUCAUCUCCGGGGGUAGAGCACUGUUUCGGCAAGGGGGUCAUCCCGACUUACCAACCCGAUGCAAACUGCGAAUACCGGAGAAUGUUAUCACGGGAGACACACGGCGGGUGCUAACGUCCGUCGUGAAGAGGGAAACAACCCAGACCGCCAGCUAAGGUCCCAAAGUCAUGGUUAAGUGGGAAACGAUGUGGGAAGGCCCAGACAGCCAGGAUGUUGGCUUAGAAGCAGCCAUCAUUUAAAGAAAGCGUAAUAGCUCACUGGUCGAGUCGGCCUGCGCGGAAGAUGUAACGGGGCUAAACCAUGCACCGAAGCUGCGGCAGCGACACUGUGUGUUGUUGGGUAGGGGAGCGUUCUGUAAGCCUGUGAAGGUGUACUGUGAGGUAUGCUGGAGGUAUCAGAAGUGCGAAUGCUGACAUAAGUAACGAUAAAGCGGGUGAAAAGCCCGCUCGCCGGAAGACCAAGGGUUCCUGUCCAACGUUAAUCGGGGCAGGGUGAGUCGACCCCUAAGGCGAGGCCGAAAGGCGUAGUCGAUGGGAAACAGGUUAAUAUUCCUGUACUUGGUGUUACUGCGAAGGGGGGACGGAGAAGGCUAUGUUGGCCGGGCGACGGUUGUCCCGGUUUAAGCGUGUAGGCUGGUUUUCCAGGCAAAUCCGGAAAAUCAAGGCUGAGGCGUGAUGACGAGGCACUACGGUGCUGAAGCAACAAAUGCCCUGCUUCCAGGAAAAGCCUCUAAGCAUCAGGUAACAUCAAAUCGUACCCCAAACCGACACAGGUGGUCAGGUAGAGAAUACCAAGGCGCUUGAGAGAACUCGGGUGAAGGAACUAGGCAAAAUGGUGCCGUAACUUCGGGAGAAGGCACGCUGAUAUGUAGGUGAAGCGACUUGCUCGUGGAGCUGAAAUCAGUCGAAGAUACCAGCUGGCUGCAACUGUUUAUUAAAAACACAGCACUGUGCAAACACGAAAGUGGACGUAUACGGUGUGACGCCUGCCCGGUGCCGGAAGGUUAAUUGAUGGGGUUAGCGCAAGCGAAGCUCUUGAUCGAAGCCCCGGUAAACGGCGGCCGUAACUAUAACGGUCCUAAGGUAGCGAAAUUCCUUGUCGGGUAAGUUCCGACCUGCACGAAUGGCGUAAUGAUGGCCAGGCUGUCUCCACCCGAGACUCAGUGAAAUUGAACUCGCUGUGAAGAUGCAGUGUACCCGCGGCAAGACGGAAAGACCCCGUGAACCUUUACUAUAGCUUGACACUGAACAUUGAGCCUUGAUGUGUAGGAUAGGUGGGAGGCUU
This 2129-nucleotide ribosomal RNA is filed under the name Escherichia coli. RNAcentral's name for it is "partial 23S ribosomal RNA". It matches the Rfam family "Bacterial large subunit ribosomal RNA", at positions 1 to 2157 of the family's 2925-position model. The record is from RNAcentral. Lineage: Bacteria; Pseudomonadati; Pseudomonadota; Gammaproteobacteria; Enterobacterales; Enterobacteriaceae.